RNAcentral lists this ribosomal RNA (229 nucleotides) under uncultured bacterium. RNAcentral describes it as "partial 16S ribosomal RNA". It matches the Rfam family "Bacterial small subunit ribosomal RNA", at positions 568 to 796 of the family's 1533-position model. The record is from RNAcentral.
UCCGUAGGCGGGAAUAUAAGUCAGUGGUGAAAUCUUACAGCUCAACUGUAAAAUUGCCAUUGAUACUGGAUUUCUUGAAUUAGUGUGAAGUGGUUAGAAUGUGUAGUGUAGCGGUGAAAUGCAUAGAUAUUACACAGAAUACCAAUUGCGAAGGCAGAUCACUAACACUAUAUUGACGCUAAGGGACGAAAGCGUGGGGAGCGAACAGGAUUAGAUACCCUGGUAGUCC